Chelonia mydas (Green sea turtle) is the source of this 883-nucleotide long non-coding RNA. RefSeq lists it as uncharacterized. Lineage: Eukaryota; Metazoa; Chordata; Testudines; Cheloniidae. The transcript has 3 exons. The record is from RefSeq and is a predicted model, not a curated record.
AGGACCUGGCUGCUGGGGAAGCUGAGGGGGUACCCAGGGAAGGGCAGAGGGAGCUGGGGCGCUCCAGCCUAGCAGAGCCCCAGGCUGCAGGCCGAGGUAAAGGCCCACACAAGGGUACUAAGGCUGCAGAGGGGCAGCCCAGGCCUAGACAGGGGCAGCUGGUCUGACCCUGCUUGCCGAUGAUGAGUGGUACGGACUGCGUCUGCCCCAGGGAGCGGGGGCUAGACGAUGACUGACCAUAGUCCCUGAGGCAAGGGAGGGAUAGGGGGUUGGGGGUCCACUGAGAGGGGAGACCCAGACUGAGCCCUAGGCUAGAAGGGCACCGGGGUCCAGGAGGGGCACGGGGCCAGCAGCAGGCGAGACACCGACCGGCAGAGGGUGCUCCUGGCUGAAAAGAGCUAAUUCCCUGGGCAACCAGCAGGCAGCGCCGCAGCGCCUCCAUUUCCUGAGCUUCUCCAUUUGCCUUAUUUUCACUGGCUGCCUUCCCGGGCCCAGCCACGUGAAUCGACUGGCCCCUGCCCGGGCUACUCACUCCUGGAGGAUUUUGCUGUCAGUCGUCUGGGGGAACCCGAAAUCCAUCAGCUCAUCCAGCAGCUCGUAGAUGACUACGAAGUUGUCUCGGAUGCUCUCCUCCUCCAGCUCCUUAAAGUACUCGGAGAAGACCUGGGAGAGGGGCAGGAGCACCAGCCACUUCAGACGCUGCUCGCUCGCCCGCCUUUUCCCAGGGGCCGAGGUGAAUAGCCUGGUGGACUCCCUGUUUAGGGGACUCCCCCCCUCUGCUCUGGCCUCCCCCACUCUGCCGGGCUCCCCCACAGCACCCACGCAGCCCCUGCCCCGCAUGGCCUGGCAGCCCCUCCAGAGCCCAGGUGAGCAGAGCCCAGAG